GGUAGGUUAGUGGUAGACAUGACUGUAUGUAGUGUUAUGAUAUGAGGGUAGGUUAGUGUUAGACAUAUCUGUAUGUAGUGUUAUGAUAUGAGGGUAGGUUAGUGUUAUGAUAUGAUAUGAGGGUAGGUUAGUGUUAUGAUAUGAGGGUAGGUUAGUGUUAGACAUGUCUGUAUGUAGUGUUAUGAUAUGAGGGUAGGUUAGUGUUAGACAUGUCUGUAUGUAGUGUUAUGAUAUGAGGGUAGGUUAGUGUUAUGAUAUGAUAUGAGGGUAGGUUAGUGGUAGGCAUGUCUGUAUGUAGUGUUAUGAUAUGAGGGUAGGUUAGUGGUAGACAUGUCUGUAUGUAGUGUUAUGAUAUGAGGGUAGGUUAGUGGUAGACAUGUCUGUAUGUAGUGUUAUGAUAUGAGGGUAGGUUAGUGUUAUGAUAUGAGGGUAGGUUAGUGUUAAACCAGACUGUAUGUAGUGUUAUGAUAUGAAGGUAGGUUAGUGGUAGACAUGUCUGUAUGUAGUGUUAUGAUAUGAGGGUAGGUUAGUGGUAGACAUGUCUGUAUGUAGUGUUAUGAUAUGAGGGUAGGUUAGUGGUAGACAUGUCUGUAUGUAGUGUUAUGAUAUGAGGGUAGGUUAGUGUUAUGAUAUGAGGGUAGGUUAGUGUUAAACCAGACUGUAUGUAGUGUUAUGAUAUGAAGGUAGGUUAGUGGUAGACAUGUCUGUAUGUAGUGUUAUGAUAUGAGGGUAGGUUAGUGGUAGACAUGUCUGUAUGUAGUGUUAUGAUAUGAGGGUAGGUUAGUGGUAGACAUGUCUGUAUGUAGUGUUAUGAUAUGAGGGUAGGUUAGUGUUAUGAUAUGAGGGUAGGUUAGUGUUAGACAUGUCUGUAUGUAGUGUUAUGAUAUGAGGGUAGGUUAGUGGUAGACAUGUAUGUAUGUUGUGUUAUGAUAUGAGGGUAGGUUAGUGUUAUGAUAUGAGGGUAGGUUAGUGGUAGACAUGUCUGUAUGUAGUGUUAUGAUAUGAGGGUAGGUUAGUGUUAGACACGUCUGUAUGUAGUGUUAUGAUAUGAGGGUAGGUUAGUGGUAGACAUGUCUGUAUGUAGUGUUAUGAUAUGAGGGUAGGUUAGUGGUAGACAUGUCUGUAUGUAGUGUUAUGAUAUGAGGGUAGGUUAGUGGUAGACAUGUCUGUAUGUAGUGUUAUGAUAUGAGGGUAGGUUAGUGGUAGGCAUGUCUGUAUGUAGUGUUAUGAUAUGAGGGUAGGUUAGUGGUAGACAUGUCUGUAUGUAGUGUUAUGAUAUGAGGGUAGGUUAGUGGUAGACAUGUCUGUAUGUAGUGUUAUGAUAUGAGGGUAGGUUAGUGUUAUGAUAUGAGGGUAGGUUAGUGUUAAACCAGACUGUAUGUAGUGUUAUGAUAUGAAGGUAGGUUAGUGGUAGACAUGUCUGUAUGUAGUGUUAUGAUAUGAGGGUAGGUUAGUGGUAGACAUGUCUGUAUGUAGUGUUAUGAUAUGAGGGUAGGUUAGUGGUAGACAUGUCUGUAUGUAGUGUUAUGAUAUGAGGGUAGGUUAGUGGUAGACAUGUAUGUAUGUUGUGUUAUGAUAUGAGGGUAGGUUAGUGUUAUGAUAUGAGGGUAGGUUAGUGGUAGACAUGACUGUAUGUAGUGUUAUGAUAUGAAGGUAGGUUAGUGGUAGACAUGUCUGUAUGUAGUGUUAUGAUAUGAGGGUAGGUUAGUGUUAUGAUAUGACGGUAGGUUAGUGUUAUGAUAUGAGGGUAGGUUAGUGUUAGACAUGUCUGUAUGUAGUGUUAUGAUAUGUGGGUAGGUUGGUGGUAGACAUGUAUGUAUGUAGUGUUAUGAUAUGAGGGUAGGUUAGUGGUUACUUUAUCCUAUCCCAGGUAUUCCUUAAAGAGGUGGGGUUUCAGGUGUCUCCGGAAGGUGGUGAUUGACUCCGCUGUCCAGGCGUCGUGAGGGAGCUUGUUCCACCAUUGGGGUGCCAGAGCAGCGAACAGUUUUGACUGGGCUGAGCGGGAACUGUGCUUCCUCAGAGGUAGGGAGGCG
Molecule: long non-coding RNA, 2033 nt
Filed under: Salmo salar (Atlantic salmon)
Lineage: Eukaryota; Metazoa; Chordata; Actinopteri; Salmoniformes; Salmonidae
Description: lncRNA (ENSSSAG00000101566.1)
Source: RNAcentral